CGUGUUCUGCAGUUUGAGAGGCCAUUUUGUUGACUUUGUAGCGCUAUUUUGCGCGAAGUUUCUGGGAGAAUAUGAGCGAAUCCGACAACGGAAACGAUGCCGACUUGCCUGGGGGAUACACCAGCGAGGAGUCGGUGGGAGAGGGCUCUGAAGAAGAACACGAGCAAGGUAAAUAAGCCGAUGUUUUUGUGUCAAAAUGAACAACACUAGGUCGACUAAUAAUUCAUGACUUUUCGUCCUUCACGUUCAGUUUUUGCCGCUAUACGCACUCUGCAUAUGAAGUCUUCCUACGAGAACAUGUCCCGCGCAUACAGCCAGGGCUGCACAUCUAGCCUCUGGCAAUUAUCGCAUCCAACGAUGAUGGUGACAGCCAUGACAGUGCUGAUAGCAGUGAUGAAGAUGAUCAUGACGGCGGACCUGGAGACGUACGUGGUGUUUGGAUGCCUGUCAUGGAAGAUGAUCCUGGUCCAGCUCCUGUCCAUUUCACUGCAAUUCCAGGCGUCAAACAUCCACCUGCCGGAAACGCCAGGCCUAUCGAGUACUUCGACUUGUAUUUCACCCCAGCGAUCAUAGACAGAAUUGUCACCGAAACGAAUCGGUAUGCCCAGCAGUGGAUUGAUGCGAAUAGGGAUUAUCUUGUUGAGAAGCCGCACUCUGUUGUCAAUCAGUGGAGAAAGUUUGGAGGAACAACACCAGAAGAGAUUCGUGCAUUUGUAGGCCUUAUUCUCAACAUGGGACUGGUAACCAAGUCGACCUUGAAGGGCUACUGGGACGUUUCCAACCCAAACUUUGGGACAUCGUGGUUCGUUGAGCAUUUUUCCAGAGAUCGCUUUCAGCUCCUAGUGAAGUUCCUUCAUUUCAACAACAAUGAAGAACAACCUCCCUGUGGUGAUCCAGGCCAUAAACUGCACAAGAUCAAACCAAUCAUCGACCACUUCAACACAGAAUUCCUCAACCACUACCAUCCCAGUCAGAACAUCUCAAUAGAUGAGUCCAUGGUCGGGUUCAAAGGAAAGACCCCACAUAUAAGACAGUUCAUGCCACAGAAGAGGCAUGCACGGUUGGUAUCAAGUUAUGGUGCGUCUGCGACAGUCUGAAUGGGUAUACUUCCCACCUGGAGGUGUACAAAGGGAAAAGAGGCAGCACCUCCAGCUGAUGACCGCGGCACAACAUACCAUCUU
RNA transcript from Branchiostoma belcheri (Belcher's lancelet), 1181 nucleotides. It is a transcript of the gene named piggyBac transposable element-derived protein 4-like, with no coding region annotated. The transcript is spliced from 3 exons. Lineage: Eukaryota; Metazoa; Chordata; Leptocardii; Amphioxiformes; Branchiostomatidae. The record is from RefSeq and is a predicted model, not a curated record.